CCUACGGGUGGCUGCAGUAGGGAAUCUUCCACAAUGGACGCAAGUCUGAUGGAGCAACGCCGCGUGAGUGAAGAAGGCUUUCGGCUCGUAAAGCUCUGUCAGUCGUGACGAAGGUUACAGGUAUUAACUGCCCUUUAUUUGACGUUAAUUACUUAGGAAGUCCCGGCUAACUACGUGCCAGCAGCCGCGGUAAUACGGAGGGGGCAAGCGUUAUUCGGAAUUAUUGGGCGUAAAGCGCAUGCAGGCGGUUGAAUAAGUCAGAUGUGAAAUCCCUCGGCUCAACCGGAGAAUUGCAUCUGAAACUGUUGAACUUGAGUGCAGUAGAGGAGAGUGGAAUUCCAUGUGUAGCGGUGGAAUGCGUAGAGAUAUGGAAGAAUACCAGUGGCGAAGGCGGCCCCCUGGACUGAAACUGACGCUGAGGCGCGAAAGCAUGGGUAGCGAACAGGAUUAGAUACCCGGGUAGUC
RNAcentral lists this ribosomal RNA (465 nucleotides) under uncultured bacterium. RNAcentral describes it as "partial 16S ribosomal RNA". It matches the Rfam family "Bacterial small subunit ribosomal RNA", at positions 338 to 795 of the family's 1533-position model. The record is from RNAcentral.